RNAcentral lists this ribosomal RNA (57 nucleotides) under Ficus adhatodifolia. Its description in RNAcentral is "partial 28S ribosomal RNA". RNAcentral also lists the same sequence under 4 other names. The record is from RNAcentral. Lineage: Eukaryota; Viridiplantae; Streptophyta; Magnoliopsida; Rosales; Moraceae.
ACGCGACCCCAGGUCAGGCGGGGCUACCCGCUGAGUUUAAGCAUAUCAAUAAGCGGA